Molecule: ribosomal RNA, 1031 nt
Filed under: marine metagenome
Description: bacterial SSU rRNA
Rfam family: Bacterial small subunit ribosomal RNA
Source: RNAcentral
AGAGUUUGAUUAUGGCUCAGAACGAACGCUUGCUGCAUGCUUAAUACAUGCAAGUCGAACGAAGGCCCUAGCUUGCUAGGUGUCCUUAGUGGCGCACGGGUGAGUAACACGUGGGAACUUACCUCAGAGUACGGAAUAACUAUGGGAAACUAUAGCUAAUACCGUAUAUUCCGGCAACGGGAAAGAUUUAUCGCUCUGAGAUAGGCCCGCGCAAGAUUAGCUUGUUGGUGAGGUAAUGGCUCACCAAGGCUCCGAUCUUUAGCUGGUUUGAGAGGAUGAUCAGCCACACUGGGACUGAGACACGGCCCAGACUCCUACGGGAGGCAGCAGUAGGGAAUAUUGGACAAUGGGGGAAACCCUGAUCCAGCAAUGCAGCGUGAGUGACGAAGGCCUUAGGGUUGUAAAACUCUUUCAUCUGUGAGGAUAAUGACAGUAGCAGAAGAAGAAGGACCGGCUAAUUCCGUGCCAGCAGCCGCGGUAAUACGGAAGGUCCUAGCGUUGUUCGGAAUUACUGGGCGUAAAGAGUAUGUAGGCGGAACAGAAAGUUAGAAGUGAAAUCCCUGGGCUCAACCUAGGAAUUGCUUUUAAAACUUCUGUUCUUGAAUUCAGGAGAGGAUAGUGGAAUUUCCAGUGUAGAGGUGAAAUUCGUAGAUAUUGGAAGGAACACCAGUGGCGAAGGCGGCUAUCUGGACUGACAUUGACGCUGAGAUACGAAGGCAUGGGUAGCAAACGGGAUUAGAUACCCCGGUAGUCCAUGCAGUAAACGAUGGAUGCUAGUCGUCGGACUUUUGUUCGGUGUCGUAGCUAACGCGUUAAGCAUCCCGCCUGGGGAGUACGGUCGCAAGAUUAAAACUCAAAUAAAUUGACGGGGACCCGCACAAGUAGUGGAGCAUGUGGUUUAAUUCGACGCAACGCGAAGAACCUUACCAGCGUUUGACAUGGAAAGUACCGGUUACAGAAUGGUAACCUUCAGUUCGGCUGGCUUUCACACAGGUGCUGCAUGGCUGUCGUCAGCUCGUGUCGUGAGAUGU